CGUCGCCUGUUUAACAAAAACAUGUCUUUUUGAUUAUAAUUUAAGGUUUGAUCUGCUCAAUGAGGAUUUAAAUUGCCGCAGUAUUUUGACUGUGCAAAGGUAGCAUAAUAAUUAGUUUUUUUAUUGAAAGCUGGAAUGAAUGAUUGGACGAGAAAAUUACUGUCUCUUUAUAAUUUAAUUUUAAAUUUAACUUUUGAGUAAAAAGGCUCAAAUUUAACUUGAAGACGAGAAGACCCUAUAGAGUUUAAUAUUGCUUAGUUUAUUAUAUUUUUGGUAUUUANUUUUUGGUAGAUAAAGUUUUAUUUGGUUGGGGUGACUAGAAGAAUAAUUAAACUCUUCUUUAAUUUUUAUCAAUGAUUUUUGAGUAUAUAAUCUGGUAUUUCCAAAUUUAAUAUAAAUUACCUUAGGGAUAACAGCGUAAUUUCCUUUUAGAGUUCUUAUUGGAAAGGAAGUUUGCGACCUCGAUGUUGGAUUAAAAUUUAUUUCUGGUGCAGAAGCUUGAAUAUUGAGUCUGUUCGACUCUUAAAAUUUUACGUGAUCUGAGUUC
Molecule: ribosomal RNA, 547 nt
Filed under: Alestrus dolosus
Lineage: Eukaryota; Metazoa; Arthropoda; Insecta; Coleoptera; Elateridae
Description: partial 16S ribosomal RNA
Rfam family: Bacterial large subunit ribosomal RNA
Source: RNAcentral